This is an RNA transcript of Melanotaenia boesemani (Boeseman's rainbowfish), 5351 nucleotides long. It is a transcript of the gene named sterile alpha motif domain-containing protein 3-like, with no coding region annotated. The transcript is spliced from 7 exons. The record is from RefSeq and is a predicted model, not a curated record. Lineage: Eukaryota; Metazoa; Chordata; Actinopteri; Atheriniformes; Melanotaeniidae.
GCACGUUUCUUCAUCACCUGCCGCCUUGAACUCUGUCCAUGCUGUCUGUAAAGAUCGACUAAUCUCCAUUCAUCCGUCAGAGUGAAGGUUGCUAGCUGCCGUUUUGAGCUGUGCUGCUAAAGUGCAUGUUGAAGGUUAUGAAUGUGGUGUUGUAAGCUUUGCUCUACAAGUGUAUCUAAAAGGUUCCAAAUCCUAAAACACUUGAGACUUAAACACUCAAUUCUUGGCCUGAGACACUCAUAUCCAUGCAUUUACAGUCAUUGUCCUUGUACCUUCAAAACAUGGGGUGGUCUUAGGACUCAUCUAAGUCGUGCACAUAAUGCUAAGCCCUCUCGCACUGUAGAACAUGGUAUUUUGACUUGUCCUUCUUGUCCUGAAAGCCACAUAUCAACAAGCAGAGAAUACUUCCUCCAUAUUAAUAAACAUCUCAAGAGGUUGGAGACAGUAGAUUGUGUUUAUAAAAAUUGUUCUUUUAAAACCAAUGUAUAUGGUACUUUUCAGACACACAAGAAUAGAAAACAUUCUACAUGUACGUUAAGAGAUUUCAAAAAUGAAAUAGUGAAAAGAACUGAAUUUACAAGUGACCAUGAUCUUUCAGAGGAGUCUGCAGACGAAGGGCCUUCUGACUUGCAUAGUGAAGCUGGUUUAGUUAGUGAAAAUUUAGAGGAAGCUGUAGUUAAAAACCUUGCCUUGGUUUUAUUAAAGUUGGAGGUCUUUUCACAUGUUCCAACAUCUGCAAUUGAUCAUUUACUCGAGGGGCUACAUUUUUUAUUGACUACGUCUUCUUUACCCUUAACAAAUAGUUUAACUUUGGCUGUUCUCAAGGAACAUAAUAUCGAGGUUACUGCAUCGCUAGUGAGUGAGUUGUGCACUGCAUUAUACAGUGAAAAUCCACUACUGAAAAGUAUUGCGAAAGGAGGAUCACUUGAAACAUCAUUUAAGCGCAAGAAGUUUUACUAUGACAAGUUUAAUGUUGUUGUGCCAGAGGAAUAUGUUCUAGAGGAAAAAACUAACAAAACCUUUCAAUAUAUUCCACUGCUGAAGUUAUUGGAGCAGUUACUUCAACGUAAAGACAUUGUUGGAAAGCUGGUUGACAACUAUAAAAGAGGUCUUUCAAAUUCACAAUUGCUUACAUGUUUUCAGGACGGUGAGAAUCAUAAGAAUAAUAUUUUUUUUUCAAGUGGGGAGCUCAGAAUUUCAUUAUGCCUAUAUAUUGAUGAUUUCGAAGUGUGCAACCCGCUAGGAACAUCUCGCAAAAAACAUAAACUUUGUGCGGUUUAUUGGAUUCUGGGGAACUUGCCGUCUAGUUGCAGCUCAGCCCUUUCCUCAAUCUACUUAGCAUUGUUGUGUAAAAGUGAAUUAAUUAAAUCUUUCGGUUAUGAAAAAGUAUUUGAACCUCUGCUGCGUGAUUUAGUCAGACUCGAGAAGCAAGGUUUAUUCGUGCCCCUCCUUGGUUCGGUUAUCAAGGGUACAGUUCAGUGUGUCAUCGCUGAUAAUCUGGGGGCCCAUGGGCUUGGAGGAUUUGUGGAGAAUUUUUCAGCUAAUUAUUUUUGUCGUUUCUGUACAGCCCACCUUUCUGAUAUCAAUACGCAUGAGGUAAAGACAGGAGCAUUUGAACGAAGAACAAAGGAAAAUCAUCUGCUUCAUAUCAAGACUGCUCAAGAACAAGGUGUGAACUGUUUAGGUGUUAGAAAAUCCUGUGUGUUAUCGGAUAACCUCUCAUAUUUUAAUGUUGUUACUGGUUACCCUCCCGACAUUGUCCACGAUUUCUUUGAAGGAAUAGUUCCUGUUGAGUUGGCGCAGUGUAUUGACAUCCUCGUGUCCAAAAAGUAUUUCACUCUCGAACAACUGAACGAUCGUAUUCGUUCUUUUCCUUACAAGGAAGGAGAUAAAACAAACCGUCCCACUGUGUUAUCAAAAGCUGUAAGUAAGAAGAAGAGGCGUUCUCUUGGUGGUAAUGCACACGAGAACUGGUGUCUCAUUCGCUUGCUUCCUUUUAUCAUUGGACCAAAAGUCCCUGCUGAUGAACCAGCUUGGCUGGUUAUUUUAGACUUAAAAGAUCUUGUCGAGCUUGUAGUAGCUCCUGUUCAUAGUCUACAAUCUGUUGCAUAUUUGGAGUGUAAGGUCUCAGAGCACCGAAAGCGUUACCAACAACUAUUUCCUAAUCAAAAACUGAUGCCUAAACACCACUUUAUUGAGCACUAUGCAGAAAUGAUCAAAUGUUUUGGUCCUCUUGUCUCAUUAUGGACGAUGAGAUUCGAGGCCAAGCAUAGUUUCUUUAAACAGGCUGUUCGGAACAUCAAAAACUUCAGAAACAUAGCUGGCUCUUUAGCUCGUAAACAUCAGUUAAUGAUUGCAUAUAAAAUGCUUUGUCCUGAUGGUGAAAAUUCUACUGAUGUUACUCACGUGACAGAAGUGCCGUUGGAUGUCCUUAAAGACAAUGUUGUGAAAAGUAUCUCUGACAAAUAUCCAGACGUGACUGCUGUUAACUUAGCUACUAGUGGUUUUGUGAACAACAUUUAUUACAAAAAGGGGAUGAUUGUUGUGCAUGGAUCGUGUGGUGGUCUACCUGAUUUCUGUGAAAUUCAACAUUUGUGCAUUAUUAAAAACGAGACUCUCCUCAUUCUGAAAAGACUAAAUUCAUGGUACAGAGAGCACUAUAGAGCUUUUCAACUACAAACAACAACAGAAGUUGUUGUUGUAUCCAUGACAGACCUGGGCGACCUAUACCCUCUAUGCGACUAUGAAGUUGGACACUUGCGGAUGGUCACCUUGAAAAGGCAUAUUCACAUUGCAUGAAGAAUGGCUGCUACUUUGAGGGUGAUACUUGGAGUGGACAAUUCAUCCAAGUUGAUUCUUCCUUCCGGAAUCCCUGGUUCAGUGGACAGGUUAAAAGAAGAAAUACAAAGACAGUUUGGAUUGACCGAAGAUUUCAGGUUGCAAUAUAGAGAUGCUGAGUUUGACAAUGAAUACAUGAACCUUACCACAACUGGGGACAUUAAAGACAAGAGCACAAUCAAAGUAAUUUACACACAAAACCCGGCGCCCUCCACUGUGCCCACCACAGCUUCCACAGCUGCCUCCACAGGAACAUCUUCACUGUUUGAUUCACCAUCCUUGCCAGACACUGACAUCCUUUCCUCUCCAGACUCCAGUGCCUCAUGUUCAUCUCUUCGCUUGCGGAAAUGGCCCUUAAACUUUCCAAUACCAGAGUUUAGUUUUGGUGUGCAGUUUCAGUUAGAGAGAGCCCAACAAGAAUAUGUAAACAAUGGGACUCUCUUAGACCCGAGCCCAAAACUCAAAUCUGACAUAUUAGAUAUGUUGGCCUCAGAAAUUGCAAAAUACAAAGUUUAUCCCUCAAGUGCAGAUAUUGAUGAUGUUGCUGAAGCAUUAAUACAAAAAUAUCCCUUUCUCAAAGAGACUGGAUCUGUGACAGGCUGUGAAGGCUGGAAAGUAAGCAUCAGAUACAAAAUGGCCAAUUAUCGUACCACGCUGAGAAACAUAGGGUGCCCAGAGGUGGCAAUAAACACUCUACAACACAAGAGAGAACGAGAGGAGAGUCCAUGUCGAAACAAAGUAAAAAAAGCACGGAAAGCGGAAGUGAACUUCUUACCGCAAUACCCUGCAGGAGAAACAAAGGAAAGUCUGGAGGAAGAACGGCAAGCACUACUGAUGGAGGUGAAGAAAACAAACAAUGAUCAAAUAAUCAAAACAAAGAUGGAUAAGACGUUUGCACACCGAAGAAGAGAGGUGAUUGAAGAGAUGCCGUUCAUUGCGGAGUUCAAGAGCAGAUGGCCUGCCCUCUUCAAAGUACAUGAGAUCAAUGCGGAGUUCACCCGAAUCACCACCGUUCCACUGCUGUCCACAUUCAUGAGCAGUCUCGACCACUACUCUGACCAGCUGAUGAAGAUUUUACGGAAAAAAGGAGGGGAACCAGCACGGCGGAUUGCUGCAGUGAUGUCUCCAAUUGGACAGAGUUCCCGCAUCGAAGUGAAGCGUGAAUGCAUCCUUAAAGCGCUCAUGAUAUACCUGAAUGAGAAGCCUCAAAACCUCAUCAAAGAGUAUCUGGAUGUCAGCGUGAUGGAAGCCGAAGAGCUCGAGGGGAUUGAUUUGGGCAUUUAUAAAAUAAUCCACGAAGGAGCACAGCUAGAUGACUCCCUUGAAGAUGUUGGCAUCAUCAUCGAAAAGUGCACCGUCUUGCAGGAUCUUAGUGAUGUGGCGAGCGGGUGUGCACUUUUGUUUGGGCUAAUUUACUGCCUCAAUCUGAGCUACCCAAAGCCAUUUCGUUACUUAUUUGAGUUCUUUCAGAAAGUGCUCAUGGGACUGGAUGAUAAGAAACUGUCUACCAAAAUACAAGUCCUGAAGAACAAACUCUGCCAAAAGGAGAUGCAAUGACUGUUCAAGAGGGGAAUGUCCAAAACAUAAAACACAAUUCUCUAUUUUCUUGCUAAGGAAAAAUUUGACUGUUUGAAAGUUGCAGUUUUUUUAAUAAUGGAAAAGGGAGGUCAAAUGUCAAGUUGCUCAUUUUAUUUAAGCAUUUUUGGUCUUUGCAUUUAAGAAAAUUUGCGAAAUUUGCUGUAUGCUGUUUUGUUUUGAAUGAGAAAAAGAAAACUUACAAUUCUGAAUCAGAUUUUUUGGACUGGGGACAAAAUUGCCCAGAUUGACUUUAAUUUUUUAUUUCACUUCUUACAUAUUUUCUGUAAUUGCAGUAUGCAGUGAUUUUAGUUUGAGUUAAACGUUAUAAUGCCUUAAAAGAUUUGGAAUAGGUCAGAUCUGCUGUCUUGGAGAUAAUCACCACGAAAAGUGACGUCUAUGCCUGCCUGCCUUUAUUAACCCAAAUGUACCCACUGAUGAACCAGCUUGGCAGGCUAGUUUAGACUUAAAAGGUCUUGUCGAGCUUAGUAGCUCCUGUCCAUAAUCUAUCUCUGUUGCAUAUUUGUCUCUGGAAAGAUUAUUUUCAAAUAUUUCCUAAUCAAAAACGGAUGCCUAAAUGCUUAUUCAUUAAGCACUAAUUAGAAAUUCUCAAAAGUUUUGGUCCUUUAAUAGUUGGGAAAGUAUCUUACAAGUAGCAGUACUGUGGUAAAUCUGCAGACUGUAGCCAUUGCAGAUCUUCGACAGGAGUUCCACAAAAUACAGUAUUGUAUCGGAUUUGACAUCCUACUGCACACUACAGUGUCACUUUGUUGAAACUGGAAAGUUGUUUCCAAUGUUUACAUUUUGGUCUAUGCCUUUUAUUUAAUAUUGCAGUAUGCAGUGUUGUUCACUGUUGAAGCUUUGCCUCGUUAAAGGCUUUUGUAAAUAAAGUUGUUAAUGCAACACAAUUUUUUUUGUAUUUAGACUUUUUAUGUAAG